RNAcentral lists this unclassified non-coding RNA (336 nucleotides) under soil metagenome. RNAcentral describes it as "partial contains 5.8S ribosomal RNA, internal transcribed spacer 2, and large subunit ribosomal RNA". The stretch from base 5 to 119 matches the Rfam family "5.8S ribosomal RNA", at positions 40 to 154 of the family's 154-position model. The record is from RNAcentral.
GAUGAGAACGCAGCGAAAUGCGAUAAGUAGUGUGAAUUGCAGAAUUCAGUGAAUCAUCGAAUCUUUGAACGCACAUUGCGCCCCUUGGUAUUCCAUGGGGCAUGCCUGUUCGAGCGUCAUUUGUACCUUCAAGCUCUGCUUGGUGUUGGGUGUUUGUCUCGCCUCUGCGUGUAGACUCGCCUCAAAACAAUUGGCAGCCGGCGUAUUGAUUUCGGAGCGCAGUACAUCUCGCGCUUUGCACUCAUAACGACGACGUCCAAAAGUACAUUUUUACACUCUUGACCUCGGAUCAGGUAGGGAUACCCGCUGAACUUAAGCAUAUCAAUAAGCGGAGGA